This 465-nucleotide ribosomal RNA is filed under the name uncultured bacterium. RNAcentral's name for it is "bacterial SSU rRNA". It matches the Rfam family "Bacterial small subunit ribosomal RNA", at positions 328 to 792 of the family's 1533-position model. The record is from RNAcentral.
GAGCCAGACUCCUACGGGAGGCAGCAGUGAGGAAUAUUGGUCAAUGGGCGCGAGCCUGAACCAGCCAAGUCGCGUGAGGGAAGACGGUCCUAUGGAUUGUAAACCUCUUUUGUCGGGGAGCAAAAGACGCCACGCGUGGCGUUCCGAGAGUACCCGGAGAAAAAGCAUCGGCUAACUCCGUGCCAGCAGCCGCGGUAAUACGGAGGAUGCGAGCGUUAUCCGGAUUUAUUGGGUUUAAAGGGUGCGUAGGCGGGAUGCCAAGGCAGCGGUAAAAUGCGGUGCUCAACGCCGUCGAGCCGUUGAAACUGGCGUUCUUGAGUGGGCGAGAAGUAUGCGGAAUGCGUGGUGUAGCGGUGAAAUGCAUAGAUAUCACGCAGAACUCCGAUUGCGAAGGCAGCAUACCGGCGCCCGACUGACGCUGAGGCACGAAAGCGUGGGUAUCGAACAGGAUUAGAUACCCGAGUA